RNAcentral lists this ribosomal RNA (434 nucleotides) under uncultured bacterium. Its description in RNAcentral is "partial 16S ribosomal RNA". It matches the Rfam family "Bacterial small subunit ribosomal RNA", at positions 29 to 507 of the family's 1533-position model. The record is from RNAcentral.
AGCGAACGCUGGCGGCAGGCCUAACACAUGCAAGUCGAACGAACCUUUCGGGGUUAGUGGCGGACGGGUGAGUAACACGUGGGAACGUGCCUUUAAGUUCGGAAUAACUCAGGGAAACUUGUGCUAAUACCGAAUGUGCCCUUCGGGGGAAAGAUUUAUCGCCUUUAGAGCGGCCCGCGUCUGAUUAGCUAGUUGGUUGAGGUAAUGGCUCACCAAGGCGACGAUCAGUAGCUGGUCUGAGAGGAUGAUCAGCCACAUUGGGACUGAGACACGGCCCAAACUCCUACGGGAGGCAGCAGUGGGGAAUCUUGCGCAAUGGGCGAAAGACUGACGCAGCCAUGCCGCGUGAAUGAUGAAGGUCUUAGGAUUGUAAAAUUCUUUCACCGGGGACGAUAAUGACGGUACCCGGAGAAGAAGCCCCGGCUAACUUCGUG